Molecule: non-coding RNA, 29 nt
Filed under: Rattus norvegicus (Norway rat)
Lineage: Eukaryota; Metazoa; Chordata; Mammalia; Rodentia; Muridae
Source: RNAcentral
UUAUAGAGGAGGUAUUGGUGCUGUUGUGU